GAGGAAAGGAUUAAGCUUUUGCUGCCCCGCCACCAUCUAUCUCCAUGAAGUAUGGUGUCCACCUGAAGCUGUAUGGCACUACAGCCCAGCAGAGGCCUGUGGGAGGCUGGCUGUACCGCUUCCAGACCUGAAUUAACCUCUCAGCCUGUCGCCACACAGGGCUGUACGGAGGUACCAGCUCAGACUGGCACCACAUCAAGUAUUUCUAAACCACGGGUCACAGCAUUAUUUAGACAUGCUUGGAGGACAAUCCCAAGGCAAAGCAGACUUGUGUGCUCCACAUUAGGCAGGACAAAUGACGUGGAAUUUAAAAGUUAUGCCUGCUGUCUCUCAUGCCCCAUGCAGCACUGUGAAGAGUGUGGCUCCAUCUCCCCCUCCUCAUAGGUACUGGCAGCCUGUUGGUAGGUCCGCCCAAAGCCUUCUCUUCUCCAAGCUGAACCGGUCCAACUCCCUCAGCUUCUCCUCACAGGACAAGUGCUCCAGCCCCCAACCAUCUGCUGAACUCGCUCCAC
Egretta garzetta (little egret) is the source of this 512-nucleotide long non-coding RNA. RefSeq lists it as uncharacterized. Lineage: Eukaryota; Metazoa; Chordata; Aves; Pelecaniformes; Ardeidae. The record is from RefSeq and is a predicted model, not a curated record. The transcript has 3 exons.